This 259-nucleotide long non-coding RNA is filed under the name Homo sapiens (human). RNAcentral describes it as "non-protein coding lnc-OR9G1-1:1". The record is from RNAcentral. Lineage: Eukaryota; Metazoa; Chordata; Mammalia; Primates; Hominidae.
GAAAACCCCUCUAAGAUCCCUUAUAAGGCCAUCUCACUUGCCACUGUGCUGUUUUUGAUUGGCACCUUUCUCAUUAUUAUAGGCUCCCUCAUGCUGUCAGGCUACAUCAGCAAAGGCGGGGCAGACCGGGCCGUUCCAGUCCUGAUCAUUGGCAUUCUGGUAUUCCUACCCGUAUUUUACCACCUGCGCAUCCCUUACUAUGCAUCCAAAGGCUACCGUGGUUACUCCUAUGAUGACAUUCCAGACUUUGAUGACUAGC